ACCCAGAGGAAUGGGAGAAGGGAACACCAUGGAUGGAGGAUGUGGCUUGGUGGAUUGUUCCUGAAGAAGGGCUGCGAGAGCAGAGGCACACAGAGGAGCACUGGGAAAUGUUCCUAUUGAUCGGAAAUGAAUAAUUAUCACCCGCUCCCCGUUCCAGGGGCUCACAGUGAGCGGAAGAGCGGAAGCACUAAGCAGGAUUAAUAACUACUUUUCAUUACUUUUAAUGCAAACUAUUGAUUUUAAAGUGUUGUAGGGUAUGACAGUUUAUUACAAUAAGACAAUAAAACAGACUAUAUGAAAUAAU
This is a non-coding RNA of Lonchura striata (white-rumped munia), 304 nucleotides long. The record is from RefSeq and is a predicted model, not a curated record. Lineage: Eukaryota; Metazoa; Chordata; Aves; Passeriformes; Estrildidae.